Long non-coding RNA from Venturia canescens, 633 nucleotides. RefSeq lists it as uncharacterized. The transcript is spliced from 3 exons. The record is from RefSeq and is a predicted model, not a curated record. NCBI's taxonomy places the organism in Eukaryota, Metazoa, Arthropoda, Insecta, Hymenoptera, Ichneumonidae.
CAUUUUCGAUUUUUCCAUCGAUGGUCUUCGGAUCACACCUGCAGUUAUUUCGGGCUCAACAACUGGGCGUGAAGAUGUUUCACUCACGUUGCUUGCGGCGUACGUGCUUUGAGUCUGGAAAAAUAUGCAACGACAGAGCUUCAGCUCGCAAAAAGGGUCGCUGAAUCCAUUGAGAUCUUUUGCAACGAGAUCUUUGGCUCUCAGCAGCGUUACUUCCAUCAAUCCACUUCCGGUCGACAGGAGACUCGAGAUGUCCGAGGACGCCGGAUCGUUGUCGCGAUGCGUCAAAACGCGCAUUGGGCACUUCUGGACGUAUGUGAGGCGUUAAUUAACUCAAAGAAACCGAACCGCUUGCUGCAUCCAAGGAAGACUGUUUCUUUUUCCUUUCGGUUCAUCAGCAUCGGUCAUUGGAGCGAUGCUGCUUCGACGACUCGGUAUUACUUGCUGCACACUCCGAACUGGAUAAAAUAACACCGAUACGGUCAUAGUGGAUCCGCCGUUCGAUCCACUGAGGGCCAAGUCUUUCCUCACUACCCAUCGUGUGUCCUGAAAAAAACGAAAUUCUUCACCAUACGAUUUUUUUUUGUACGACACUCGUUGGCAUUGUUUUAAAUUAUAUUAUUAUUAACCUGC